UACGGAGGGUGCAAGCGUUAAUCGGAAUUACUGGGCGUAAAGCGUGCGCAGGCGGUUUGUUAAGUCUGCUGUGAAAUCCCCGAGCUCAACUUGGGAAUUGCAGUGGAUACUGGCAAGCUGGAGUACGGUAGAGGAAGGUGGAAUUCCUGGUGUAGCAGUGAAAUGCGUAGAGAUCGGGAGGAACACCAGUGGCGAAGGCGGCCUUCUGGACCAGUACUGACGCUCAUGCACGAAAGCGUGGGGAGCAAACAGG
This 253-nucleotide ribosomal RNA is filed under the name uncultured bacterium. RNAcentral's name for it is "partial 16S ribosomal RNA". It matches the Rfam family "Bacterial small subunit ribosomal RNA", at positions 524 to 776 of the family's 1533-position model. The record is from RNAcentral.